AUACAUGCAAGUCGAGCGGACUUGAAGAGAAGCUUGCUUCUCUGAUGGUUAGCGGCGGACGGGUGAGUAACACGUAGGCAACCUGCCCUCAAGUUUGGGACAACUACCGGAAACGGUAGCUAAUACCGAAUAGUUGUUUUCUUCGCCUGAAGAGAACUGGAAAGACGGAGCAAUCUGUCACUUGGGGAUGGGCCUGCGGCGCAUUAGCUAGUUGGUGAGGUAACGGCUCACCAAGGCGACGAUGCGUAGCCGACCUGAGAGGGUGAUCGGCCACACUGGGACUGAGACACGGCCCAGACUCCUACGGGAGGCAGCAGUAGGGAAUCUUCCGCAAUGGGCGAAAGCCUGACGGAGCAAUGCCGCGUGAGUGAUGAAGGUUUUCGGAUCGUAAAGCUCUGUUGCCAGGGAAGAACGCUUGGGAGAGUAACUGCUCUC
Molecule: ribosomal RNA, 435 nt
Filed under: uncultured bacterium
Lineage: Bacteria
Description: bacterial SSU rRNA
Rfam family: Bacterial small subunit ribosomal RNA
Source: RNAcentral